Molecule: long non-coding RNA, 206 nt
Filed under: Mytilus galloprovincialis (Mediterranean mussel)
Lineage: Eukaryota; Metazoa; Mollusca; Bivalvia; Mytilida; Mytilidae
Source: RNAcentral
UUUUUAUCAAUUUUCAAUUUCAUGUGUUGUUUCCGUAUAUGUUAUGUUUCAUUGCUCAUGUGUUGUUUUCGUAUAUUUUAGCCGCUCGUCUUGAGCCUACUCAUUUGAUCCGAUAAUACCCCAUAUAGCAAUAAAAUUAUACUUUUAUUGCCAUUCAUAACUCUUAACAGACCAAUUAACAGACCGGGUUUUAUACAUCCGACCCA